RNAcentral lists this ribosomal RNA (253 nucleotides) under uncultured bacterium. RNAcentral's name for it is "partial 16S ribosomal RNA". It matches the Rfam family "Bacterial small subunit ribosomal RNA", at positions 524 to 776 of the family's 1533-position model. The record is from RNAcentral.
UACGUAGGGUGCAAGCGUUGUCCGGAAUUAUUGGGCGUAAAGAGCUCGCAGGCGGUUUGUCGCGUCGGCUGUGAAAACUCAGGGCUCAACCCUGAGCCUGCAGUCGAUACGGGCAGACUAGAGUAUGGCAGGGGAGACUGGAAUUCCUGGUGUAGCGGUGAAAUGCGCAGAUAUCAGGAGGAACACCGGUGGCGAAGGCGGGUCUCUGGGCCAUAACUGACGCUGAGGAGCGAAAGCGUGGGGAGCGAACAGG